CAAUAGCGUAUAUUAAAGUUGUUGCGGUUAAAAAGCUCGUAGUUGGAGUUCUGCCAGGUGCCGCCUGUCCGCCCCAGUGGUGAGUACGUGGCGCGCAUUUGGCCCUUUCAAGGGGAGCGUAUCUGCACUUUAUUGUGUGGUGCGGGAUCCUUGACUUUUACUUUGAGGAAAUAGGAGUGUUCCAAGCAGGCUCUCGUCGUGCACAGCUCAGCAUGGAAUAAUAGCAUUGGACCUCGAUUCUAAGCUGUUGGUUGCCAGAAGCGAGGUAAUGAUGAAGAGGGAUAGUUGGGGGCAUUCGUAUUUAACUGUCAGAGGUGAAAUUCUUGGAUUUGUUAAAGGCGGACUACUGCGAAAGCAUCUGCCAUGGAUGUUUUCAUUGA
This 380-nucleotide ribosomal RNA is filed under the name uncultured eukaryote. RNAcentral's name for it is "partial 18S ribosomal RNA". It matches the Rfam family "Eukaryotic small subunit ribosomal RNA", at positions 592 to 976 of the family's 1831-position model. The record is from RNAcentral.